This 549-nucleotide ribosomal RNA is filed under the name uncultured bacterium. RNAcentral describes it as "bacterial SSU rRNA". It matches the Rfam family "Bacterial small subunit ribosomal RNA", at positions 355 to 895 of the family's 1533-position model. The record is from RNAcentral.
UAGGGAAUCUUCGGCAAUGGACGGAAGUCUGACCGAGCAACGCCGCGUGAGUGAAGAAGGUUUUCGGAUCGUAAAGCUCUGUUGUAAGAGAAGAACGAGUGUGAGAGUGGAAAGUUCACACUGUGACGGUAUCUUACCAGAAAGGGACGGCUAACUACGUGCCAGCAGCCGCGGUAAUACGUAGGUCCCGAGCGUUAUCCGGAUUUAUUGGGCGUAAAGCGAGCGCAGGCGGUUAGAUAAGUCUGAAGUUAAAGGCUGUGGCUUAACCAUAGUACGCUUUGGAAACUGUUUAACUUGAGUGCAAGAGGGGAGAGUGGAAUUCCAUGUGUAGCGGUGAAAUGCGUAGAUAUAUGGAGGAACACCGGUGGCGAAAGCGGCUCUCUGGCUUGUAACUGACGCUGAGGCUCGAAAGCGUGGGGAGCAAACAGGAUUAGAUACCCUGGUAGUCCACGCCGUAAACGAUGAGUGUUAGGUGUUAGACCCUUUCCGGGGUUUAGUGCCGCAGCUAACGCAUUAAGCACUCCGCCUGGGGAGUACGACCGCAAGGNU